GAUGAACGCUGGCGGCGUGCCUAAUACAUGCAAGUCGAGCGAACGGACGAGAAGCUUGCUUCUCUGAUGUUAGCGGCGGACGGGUGAGUAACACGUGGAUAACCUACCUAUAAGACUGGGAUAACUUCGGGAAACCGUAGCUAAUACCGGAUAAUAUUUUGAACCGCAUGGUUCAAAAGUGAAAGACGGUCUUGCUGUCACUUAUAGAUGGAUCCGCGCUGCAUUAGCUAGUUGGUAAGGUAACGGCUUACCAAGGCAACGAUGCAUAGCCGACCUGAGAGGGGGAUCGGCCACACUGGAACUGAGACACGGUCCAGACUCCUACGGGAGGCAGCAGGAGGGAAUCGUCCGCAAUGGGCGAAAGCCUGACGGAGCAACGCCGCGUGAGUGAUGAAGGUGUUCGGAUCGUAAAACUCUGUUAUUAGGGAAGAACAUAUGUGUAAGUAAAUGUGCACAUCUCGACGGUACCUAAUCAGAAAGCCACGGCUAACUACGUG
This 497-nucleotide ribosomal RNA is filed under the name uncultured bacterium. RNAcentral's name for it is "partial 16S ribosomal RNA". It matches the Rfam family "Bacterial small subunit ribosomal RNA", at positions 28 to 507 of the family's 1533-position model. The record is from RNAcentral.